GAUGAAGAACGUAGUGAAAUGCGAUAAGUAAUGCGAAUUGCAGAAUUUCCGUGAGUCAUCGAAUCUUUGAACGCACAUUGCGCCCUUUGGUAUUCCGAAGGGCAUGCCUGUUCGAGCGUCAUUUCACCACUCAAGCCUGGCUUGGUGUUGGGCGACGUCCCCUUUGGGGACGCGCCUCGAAACGCUCGGCGGCGUGGCACCGGCUUUAAGCGUAGCAGAAUCUUUCGCUUUGGAAGUCGGGGCCCCGUCUGCCGGAAGACCUACUCGCAAGGUUGACCUCGGAUCAGGCAGGGAUACCCGCUGAACUUAAGCAUAUCAAUAAGCGGAGGA
This 330-nucleotide unclassified non-coding RNA is filed under the name soil metagenome. RNAcentral's name for it is "partial contains 5.8S ribosomal RNA, internal transcribed spacer 2, and large subunit ribosomal RNA". The stretch from base 1 to 121 matches the Rfam family "5.8S ribosomal RNA", at positions 35 to 154 of the family's 154-position model. The record is from RNAcentral.